Molecule: ribosomal RNA, 508 nt
Filed under: uncultured bacterium
Lineage: Bacteria
Description: partial 16S ribosomal RNA
Rfam family: Bacterial small subunit ribosomal RNA
Source: RNAcentral
GACGAACGCUGGCGGCGUGCCUAAUACAUGCAAGUCGAACGCUUCUUUCCUCCCGAGUGCUUGCCCUCAAUUGGAAAGAGGAGUGGCGGACGGUAGAGUAACACGUGGGUAACCUACCCAGCAGAGGGGGAGAACACUUGCAAACAGGUGCUAAUACCGCGUAACAGUUUAUGCCGCAGGGCAUAAGAGUGGAUGGCGCGUUCGGAGGUCACUAAGGGAUGGACCCGCGGUUCGUUAGCUAGUUGGCGAGGCAACGGCGCACCAAGGCCACGAUGCAUAGCCGCCCCGAGAGGGUGAUCGGCCACCCUGGGACUGAGACACGGCCCAGACUCCUACGGUAGGACGCAGUCGGGAAUCUUCGGCAAUGGACGAAAGUCUGACCGAGCACCGCCGCGUGAGUGAAGAAGGUUUUCGGCUCGUAAAGCUCUGUUGUUCGUGAAGAACAAGAACGUUAGUAACUGAGCGUCUCCUGACGGUACCUAAACAGAAAGCCACGGCUAACUACGUG